This 303-nucleotide ribosomal RNA is filed under the name uncultured bacterium. Its description in RNAcentral is "partial 16S ribosomal RNA". It matches the Rfam family "Archaeal small subunit ribosomal RNA", at positions 457 to 760 of the family's 1478-position model. The record is from RNAcentral.
AGCAGUAGCCGCGGGAAUACCAGCACCUCGAGUGGUCAGGAGGUUUAUUGGGCCUAAAGCAUCCGUAGCCGGUUGCAUAAGUUUUCGGUUAAAUCUAUGCGCUUAACGUAUAGGCCGCCGAAAAUACUGUGCAGCUAGGGAGUGGGAGAGGUACACGGUACUCGAUAGGAAGGGGUAAAAUCCUUUGAUCUAUUGAUGACCACCUGUGGCGAAGGCGGUGUACCAGAACACGUUCGACGGUGAGGGAUGAAGGCUGGGGGAGCAAACCGGAUUAGAGACCCCUGUAGUCCCUGUCUCUUAUAC